CCUGGUUAUCAAAAACAUGUCCUUUUGUUAAUGAUUUAAGGUCUAACCUGCCCGCUGAGUAGUUGAAGGGCCGCGGUAUUUUGACCGUGCAAAGGUAGCAUAAUAAUUAGUUUUUUAAUUGAAAGCUGGAAUGAAUGGUUGAAUAAGGGAAAAACUGUCUCUGUUAAAUUUUUUAGAAUUUUAUUUUUAAGUAAGAAAGCUUAAAUUAACCUAAAAGACGAGAAGACCCUAUAGAGUUUGAUAGGGUUUUGUUUUUGGCUUUUUAGAAUUUUUGGGGCAGUAAAUAAAGUCCUAUUUAGUUGGGGUGACUGAAAAAUUAAAAUAACUUUUUCUUUGUUAAAACAUUAAUUUGUGAAUAGUUUGAUCCAAAUUUUUUGAUUAUAGGAAUAAAUUACCUUAGGGAUAACAGCGUAA
This 414-nucleotide ribosomal RNA is filed under the name Purpuricenus humeralis. Its description in RNAcentral is "partial 16S ribosomal RNA". It matches the Rfam family "Archaeal large subunit ribosomal RNA", at positions 1891 to 2554 of the family's 2987-position model. The record is from RNAcentral. Lineage: Eukaryota; Metazoa; Arthropoda; Insecta; Coleoptera; Cerambycidae.